Long non-coding RNA from Nematostella vectensis (starlet sea anemone), 2166 nucleotides. RefSeq lists it as uncharacterized. The record is from RefSeq and is a predicted model, not a curated record. The transcript is spliced from 2 exons. Lineage: Eukaryota; Metazoa; Cnidaria; Anthozoa; Actiniaria; Edwardsiidae.
GGGGGGGGGGGAGAGAAUUUCGAUAGCCAUUACUGCUAUAUCAAGGAAAGAUUAAAGACCAUCUAAACUGAGUCAGACAAAAAGUGUGUAUGUGCCGCUAUGCGACAAGAUGAUUUUCGGAGAUAUCGAUAUCACCCCUAUGCAGACUAUGAAAGAAGCCACAAAGUCUACUGACGACUCCUUGGAUAGUCUGAGUGAUGAUGGCGUACAACAGUCUGAGACCUCAGAUGGGGAUGAGUUCAUAAAUACAACGAAUGAUAACAAAGUGUACAUCAGUUUCUGUUGACAGACUGAAGACAGUGAUAGUGAUGACAGGUUCACUAACAAGGAGCAGCAGCUAGACGGUGUUUUUAGCGGGAUGCAGGCCACACAGCUAGAUGAAAACAAUGAAACCAUCAUGAUGGUCUCUUGGUAUUAGUCCAUGGGCCAGGCAAAAUUUUAGUAUCAUUUCGGGGGACUAACAAUCACUAGUCCAGUUCGAAGAGGACACUGAGAGGGUUGAAAAAUGUAUGAUAGCCAUUUAAAAAUGUAGCUAAAUUAGUUAUUUUUAUUAUUGAAAUAUAAAAAAAUGCGAUUCUGCAUGAAAACGAGGUUCUAGAUAAAAAAGCGGCGAAAUGAUGAAUAAAAUGGUAUUUAUGAAAAAAAACGAAAUUCAGAAAGAACAAUCAGAACUGACUGAAAAUAUAGUCUUUCUCUGUGAAAAUUCGGCUUUUAGUAGGAUUUACUAGGUGCAAGAGACUUGCUGCUUUUGCAUUGCAUUCUGGGUAAUCAAGAUGGCGGCGGCCAUGCAAGGUAAUACAAUUCCCUUUGGCCCUGGCCAAAGAGCUUCAGAAGCAUAUAGAGCCGGUUGAAGAUCUUCCUUCAAGCUCGGUCAGCAUAGUCAAUGGGAUGGCGAUUAUCCAAAAGGUUGAACGGUGAACACAAAACGUUCAGAGAAGUAUCAGAUGCGUUGAUUUCCAUGGUCUUGCGCGAGGGUGCUAACAGCUUCAAGAUUGAUGUUGUUUUCGAUGACUAUCGACGAAUAUCUAUCAAGAAUGCAAAGAGAGAGAAGAGUGGAGAUGAGAUUGGCAAUGAAUACCGAAACAUCCAACCUGAGCACCGUGUGCCGCUCUCGAGAAGAUUUCUGAGAAGUUCUGGUAACAAAGAGCAACUCAUACUCUUUGUCGUUGAUGAGUGGAAGAAGGAACGCUGCAGAUCAAAGCUUAGAAGAAAGAAACUGUAUGCAACAAGUGGGCAGGAGUGUUAUGAAAUCCAAUCCAUGGCUGGGCGUUGUGCGAAGACCUGCGGUCAACACAAGAGGGCUGCUGCUGCACGCACACCACGCCGCUAGAAAUGGCGCCCCUGCUAUUGUCAUUUCCUCUGAUGAUACGGAUGUCUUUCUACUUUGCCUGGCGUUCAAGAGUUUUAUCCAACCUCCAAUCUACAUGAAGUGCGGAACACAGGCGCGAACCAAGUUUAUCAAUAUCACAAGUGUGGUGCAACUGCAUGGUCCUUCGCUGUGCGGCUGGGACUUCAUGCAUUCACUGGAUGUGAUAGUGUAAUUGCCCUAAAUAUAACAUCCCAAGUGAUUUAAAUGGACAGGAUGACAACACAAAUGACGUCACUUUAUCACGUGAUUUGCCCAUGACAGCUACGUUUUCGGCACGGCUAUGAUAAAUAAUAAUGCAGUAGAAUAAAUGAGGUUUACAAAAAUGUAUGAUAGCCUUUAGUCCCCCGAGAUGAGACUAAAUUCAAAAAUUUUGGCUAUUGCCCCAUGAACUAUAUAACCUGCCUAUUAGAUAAGCGGGGACGCCUUAAUGAAACCCCACGUCAAAUUGAAAAAAAAUAUAUUUUUAUUGUUGGUGUCCAAAAAAAAUAUUUUCUGCAUUUUCUAUUGUUUUUUUUUAAAGGUUUUGCCAAAAGUAUAUAUAUUCUUUGUCUUUUACCCACCAUCACUUUUCUAAUGGUCCGUUCUAAAUAUCUUAACACUUUUGACCAAUUCUAGAUCUGAGUUCUUAAUCGAGAACAAAAGACCAUUUGAUCUUCUUUUAGGUCAUUAUUAGUCUCCCUAGCCAUGUUAGACAGUUGUGAUUGAAGAGGACCUCUUCCCACAUUUGAUAGAGCUGUUGUAAAAUGGGACCCCUAUCCAUUGGAUAGCUGUCGUACAUGGCGACUCCCCUACCAUGU